ACUAAGGUUCGACUCGAGCGCCAGCGAGAGAGCGUUGCCGCAGGCAACGACCCGUAGGGCGAAGCGCGCAGCGCUGAGUAAUCCUUCCCCCACCACCA
This 98-nucleotide small RNA is filed under the name Escherichia coli. RNAcentral's name for it is "partial RtT sRNA". It matches the Rfam family "RtT RNA", at positions 35 to 130 of the family's 130-position model. From Rfam's summary of the family: This family represents a bacterial cis-regulatory element known as RtT RNA. The exact function of RtT is unknown although it is thought that it may be involved in changing the cellular response in relation to amino acid starvation. Lineage: Bacteria; Pseudomonadati; Pseudomonadota; Gammaproteobacteria; Enterobacterales; Enterobacteriaceae. The record is from RNAcentral.